AUUGAACGCUGGCGGCAGGCCUAACACAUGCAAGUCGAGCGGAUGAAGGGAGCUUGCUCCUGGAUUCAGCGGCGGACGGGUGAGUAAUGCCUAGGAAUCUGCCUGGUAGUGGGGGAUGACGUCCGGAAACGGGCGCUAAUACCGCAUACGUCCUGAGGGAGAAAGUGGGGGAUCUUCGGACCUCACGCUAUCAGAUGAGCCUAGGUCGGAUUAGCUAGUCGGUGGGGUAAAGGCCUACCAAGGCGACGAUCCGUAACUGGUCUGAGAGGAUGAUCAGUCACACUGGAACUGAGACACGGUCCAGACUCCUACGGGAGGCAGCAGUGGGGAAUAUUGGACAAUGGGCGAAAGCCUGAUCCAGCCAUGCCGCGUGUGUGAAGAAGGUCUUCGGAUUGUAAAGCACUUUAAGUUGGGAGGAAGGGCAGUAAGUUAAUACCUUGCUGUUUUGACGUUACCAACAGAAUAAGCACCGGCUAACUUCGUG
This 484-nucleotide ribosomal RNA is filed under the name uncultured bacterium. Its description in RNAcentral is "partial 16S ribosomal RNA". It matches the Rfam family "Bacterial small subunit ribosomal RNA", at positions 30 to 507 of the family's 1533-position model. The record is from RNAcentral.